RNAcentral lists this ribosomal RNA (253 nucleotides) under uncultured bacterium. Its description in RNAcentral is "partial 16S ribosomal RNA". It matches the Rfam family "Bacterial small subunit ribosomal RNA", at positions 524 to 776 of the family's 1533-position model. The record is from RNAcentral.
UACGUAGGGACCAAGCGUUGUUCGGAUUUACUGGGCGUAAAGGGCGCGUAGGCGGCGCGGUAAGUCACUUGUGAAAUCUCUGAGCUUAACUCAGAACGGCCAAGUGAUACUGCAGUGCUAGAGUGUGGAAGGGGCAAUCGGAAUUCUUGGUGUAGCGGUGAAAUGCGUAGAUAUCAAGAGGAACACCUGAGGUGAAGACGGGUUGCUGGGCCAACACUGACGCUGAGGCGCGAAAGCCAGGGGAGCAAACAGG